GAGAAGGGACAGGUGACCCGAUCGGAGCCCAGCCCGGCCCGGCCGCCGUCGGCGGGGGGCGAGAGAGAGCAAGGGGCGUCGAGGUCUGGGAGGGACUCUAGGGAGAUCCCGGCCGGGAUGUGGCGAGAGGCCUGAACCGGGGAGAGCCGGUAGAUGUGCGGCUAACUGGAGGGUGUCUGCCGCCUGGAACCCCGAAGAGGGCCUCAGGACAGUGAAGGGGACCCCACCCAACUCUGGUCACCCCCAGAGAUGUAGUCUUAAGACUGGGUGUGGGAUCCCAAGGCUGUGACGCUAGACAUCCCCUCAGACCCAGCUGCUGAGAGGGGACAGACCCUCCCGAGGAAUAUGGAAUUGCGAGAAAAGUGGAUGUCCCCUCCAACCCAGCAACCCCACACCUGGAAAGAGGUCUUGAGGACCUCACGAUCUGUACGUGUGCCGAGACCAAGCCGCAGCCGUCUGUCCAGCCUCGGUUGUGACAGAGGCCGGUUAACUGAAUCCUGACCCGCCCGGGAAGGAGAACGCUACACAGCGGGUCAGGAUCAUGUCAUAGUUCAUUCAUGAGAAGAAACAUCGUUUGCAAUCCAUCAGCCAGCAACAAACCAGACUGGAACACAGCACCUGCUCUCGGCUGUUGGAAAGGUGUGCGAGCCAGGGGCCGUCGCUGCUGGUGGGACGCCCCUUCCUUACCCACACAAGCAAUGGAUUAUUUGUAUAAUUAAUGUUUUUAAAAGGCUUACAGUUA
Long non-coding RNA from Equus quagga, 742 nucleotides. RefSeq lists it as uncharacterized. The record is from RefSeq and is a predicted model, not a curated record. The transcript has 2 exons. Lineage: Eukaryota; Metazoa; Chordata; Mammalia; Perissodactyla; Equidae.